Long non-coding RNA from Balaenoptera acutorostrata (minke whale), 2914 nucleotides. RefSeq lists it as uncharacterized. The record is from RefSeq and is a predicted model, not a curated record. The transcript is spliced from 3 exons. Lineage: Eukaryota; Metazoa; Chordata; Mammalia; Artiodactyla; Balaenopteridae.
GGCGCGUGGCGGCGGCCUUCCCGGGAGCGCGCGGCUGUUGCGGUCGAAGACUCGGGGUGAAAGCUGCUCUCAGCUCGGCAGGACGCGGGCUCCGCCGCCCGGGGUUCCUCGCGCCUCGCCGCACGGAGUCCCCCUCGCCCCGCUGCUCGGGGUUCCCACAGACUCCCCACCCCCUGGGCGACCAGUUCCUGGGUGGCGGGCUGCUAAGGGAGGAGCUCUUUCGGAGAUAGGUGCCUUCAAACCCCGCUCCCGUGUUUUUAAGCUCCAAAUAAGCAAGGAUUCUUUUUUCCCGGUUGAGAUGGGUUGCCACAUUUAUAUUGACUUUUAUUGCUGUAAAAUGUACCAUUUUAACCACUUUUAAGCGUGCAGUUCUGUGGCAUUAAGUACCUUUAUAUCGCUGGGCAACCAUCUCCACCCUCCAUCUCCGGAACGUUUUCAUUUUCUUAAACUGGAACUCUGUUCCUUACACAGUAACUCCCAAUUUCCCCCUUCCCCUUGUAAAAAUUUAUUUUUAGCUUUAAACUGAUUUAGGUGUCAGUGAAGAUAGGAGUAUGUGAUAUAAAUUGUCCCACUCUGGGUGCUGCCCCCCCAGUUCUGUUCCUGGAAGUAUCAGCAAAUAGCUUUCUUCCUCUUAGGUGUUUCUUGGAGAUCAUCUCCGAUGAUCUAGACUUGCCAUAACUUGUCCACCGCGUCCCCUGUUGGUUGACAGUUGGGUUGUUACCAGUUUUUGGACACAAGCUGCUUUUUUGUGCAAGUGUGAGUUCUUCUGUAGGAGAAAUCUCUGGAAUUGGCAUUGCUGGGCCCAGCAGGAUGUGCCUAAAGUAAUGUUGAUAGCUCUUGGCAAGUUCCCUCUGGAAGUUCCAUUGAUCAUUGAAGCCCAACCACCAAAGUAAGGGAGCCGGAACCUUCCCCAGCACGGCGGCUCCCCCUCCGCCUGACACAUGAAAAAUGGUAUCUCACUGCCGUUUACAGCUGUGUUUCUGAGGGUUGUUAUUUUAAGUUUUUCUUGGAAUCACUUUUCGGUUUCAUGCAAAGCCACUGAAACUUCUCUGAAGAGUUGCUGGUGGAUUGCUCUGGACAGCGGUGGCGGUGUGUUCUCUGAGCCCCAGAAGAAAGGUCACCCGUGAACCUCAGUGAUGUGUGCUGUGCUGUGGUAGUGAUGUGAGGGACAGCGCAGACGUUCAUGACACAUCUGUUCUGCGGCAGGUGAGGACACAGCAGGAAGACACCAGCCGUGAACCUGGAAGGGGCUCUCACCAGACACUGAAUCUGCCAGCACCUUGAUCUUGGACUUCCAGCCUCCAGAACUGUGAGAGCUCAGUGGUAUUUAAGCCGCCAGCCCGUGGUGGUGUUUGGCAUAGCAUCCUGAACAGACUAAGACAGUACCACAUGCAUGGUGGUAGGUGCAGGGAAAACGGAGUCAGCUUGAAGUGUCAAGGUCGAGGGGCAACAACGAAGCCUGGAGCAUCUCCCACAGUCCUCCUCACAUUUCCUGUCUUGUUUCAAAGCUUUUUUUUUUUUUUAAUGUGGUAAAAUAUACGUAACGUAAAAUUUACCAUCUUAACCAUUUUCAAGUGUGCGGUUCAGUGGCAGUAGGGGCACUCACAUUGUUAUGCAGCCAUCACCACUAUCAUCUCCAGAACUCUCUGAUCUUCCCAAACUGAGACUCUGUCCCCGCUAAAUACUGACUGCCCACCCCUCCUCCAGCCCCUGGCAGCCACCCUUCUACUGUCUGUGUCUGAACUUGUCUACCCCAGGGACCUCAUACAAGUGGAAUCCUAUAGGAUUUGUCCCUAUGUGUCUGGCUUAUUUCACUGAGCAUAAUGUCCUCAGGGUUCAUCCAUGUGGUAGCAGGUGCCAGAAUUUCCUUCCUGUUUAAGGCCGAGUGAUAAUAUUCCGUUGUAUGGACGGACCACGUUUUGCUUAUCCAUUUAUCCGUCAGUGAAUAAUUGUGGUGCUUCUGCCUCUUGGCUGUUGUGAGUAAUGCUGCUGUGAACGUGGGUGUCAAACAUCCCUUAAAGUUCCUGCUUUCAGUUCUUUUGAGUGGAAUUGCCCAGUGGUAGAAUUGCUGGCUCAUAUGGUAGUUCUGUGUUUAAUUUUUUGAGGAAACUCCAGACUGUUUUCCACGCGCCUGCACCAUUUUACAUCCCCACCAACAGUCACAAGCUUCCCGUUUCUCUAUGUCCCCACUGACACUUGUUCUUUUCUUUUCUUCUUUUUUUGUGGUAGCCAUCCUAAGGGCUGUGAAGUGUGAACUGGUGUCUCAUUGUGGUUUGAUGUGCAUUCCCAGAUUUCCUUUUAUUUGUGGUGAUUUCUCAAUGUUGAUGAGAGAGCACGUGGGAUGGUGUUUCUCAAACGUUGGCAUGCGUACCAGUCACCCAGGGAGUGUGCUGAAAUGCAGGUUCUGAGUCAGGAGGUCUGGGAAUCUGCCUGUGUAGCCAGCGCCCCAGGUGUCGACGGCAGAAGCUGCUGGGUGAGGGCCACACCGUGAGCAGCAAAGAUGGAUAACACAGUGCACAGGGGCCCUGCAGUCAGGCCAGCCCAGCGUGUGGGUAACUUUCUUAGCCACAGAGAGCAUGUUUCCUACAGCAGAGAAGUGUUCCCUGAAGGGACUUAAUGGACGGGAGGUGACUUGAAAAGAUGAUAUGUGUCUGUACGUAGAUUUUUUUUAUUGCCCCUUCGUUUCAAUUCAGUCCACUCUGGAGAUCCUCAGCAGCGAGGUUAUUCUGGAACCUGGGGCGUGUGAAACACCAGGGAGUGAGGCAGUGGGAGAUGGAAAGGGAGGGAGUCUCCUCUCCCGGGAGAUUACCUUGGUGGGGGAGGAUUCGCUACUUACAGGAAAGGUGACACUGCAGAGGUGAUGAGGUGCAGGUAGACUGCACCGCGAGGUAGUACACAUGGGCGGUGCAGACGC